RNAcentral lists this ribosomal RNA (486 nucleotides) under uncultured bacterium. RNAcentral describes it as "partial 16S ribosomal RNA". It matches the Rfam family "Bacterial small subunit ribosomal RNA", at positions 30 to 507 of the family's 1533-position model. The record is from RNAcentral.
AUUGAACGCUGGCGGCAUGCCUUACACAUGCAAGUCGAACGGCAGCACGGGUGCUUGCACCUGGUGGCGAGUGGCGAACGGGUGAGUAAUACAUCGGAACAUGUCCUGUAGUGGGGGAUAGCCCGGCGAAAGCCGGAUUAAUACCGCAUACGAUCCACGGAUGAAAGCGGGGGACCUUCGGGCCUCGCGCUAUAGGGUUGGCCGAUGGCUGAUUAGCUAGUUGGUGGGGUAAAGGCCUACCAAGGCGACGAUCAGUAGCUGGUCUGAGAGGACGACCAGCCACACUGGGACUGAGACACGGCCCAGACUCCUACGGGAGGCAGCAGUGGGGAAUUUUGGACAAUGGGCGAAAGCCUGAUCCAGCAAUGCCGCGUGUGUGAAGAAGGCCUUCGGGUUGUAAAGCACUUUUGUCCGGAAAGAAAUCCUUGGCUCUAAUACAGUCGGGGGAUGACGGUACCGGAAGAAUAAGCACCGGCUAACUACGUA